Molecule: ribosomal RNA, 451 nt
Filed under: uncultured bacterium
Lineage: Bacteria
Description: bacterial SSU rRNA
Rfam family: Bacterial small subunit ribosomal RNA
Source: RNAcentral
GUGGGGAAUAUUGGACAAUGGGGGGAACCCUGAUCCAGCCAUGCCGCGUGUGUGAAGAAGGCCUUUUGGUUGUAAAGCACUUUAAGCGAGGAGGAGGCUACCGAGAUUAAUACUCUUGGAUAGUGGACGUUACUCGCAGAAUAAGCACCGGCUAACUCUGUGCCAGCAGCCGCGGUAAUACAGAGGGUGCAAGCGUUAAUCGGAUUUACUGGGCGUAAAGAGCGCGUAGGUGGCCAAUUAAGUCAAAUGUGAAAUCCCCGAGCUUGACUUGGGAAUUGCAUUCGAUACUGGUUGGCUAGAGUAUGGGAGAGGAUGGUAGAAUUCCAGGUGUAGCGGUGAAAUGCGUAGAGAUCUGGAGGAAUACCGAUGGCGAAGGCAGCCAUCUGGCCUAAUACUGACACUGAGGUGCGAAAGCAUGGGGAGCAAACAGGAUUAGAAACCCGGGUAGUCC